RNAcentral lists this ribosomal RNA (253 nucleotides) under uncultured bacterium. Its description in RNAcentral is "partial 16S ribosomal RNA". It matches the Rfam family "Bacterial small subunit ribosomal RNA", at positions 524 to 776 of the family's 1533-position model. The record is from RNAcentral.
UACAGAGGGUGCUAGCGUUGUUCGGAAUCAUUGGGCGUAAAGCGCGUGUAGGCGGUUUGGUAAGUCCGCUGUGAAAGUCGAGGGCUCAACCCUCGAAUGCCGGUGGAUACUGUCGGGCUAGAGUACGGAAGAGGCGAGUGGAAUUCCUGGUGUAGCGGUGAAAUGCGCAGAUAUCAGGAGGAACACCAAUUGCGAAGGCAGCUCGCUGGGACGUUACUGACGCUGAGACGCGAAAGCGUGGGGAGCGAUCCGG